Molecule: long non-coding RNA, 1065 nt
Filed under: Prunus dulcis (almond)
Lineage: Eukaryota; Viridiplantae; Streptophyta; Magnoliopsida; Rosales; Rosaceae
Description: sRNA ncRNA
Source: RNAcentral
AUUCCUUCUAACUUCUUUGGCAUCAUCACCUUUUUUCUUUUGUAUUUAACAAUGUAAUUGCAUGGAACUGUUGAAUCAGAGACUGAAGAACUUAUUGGUAAACUUUUGAUUUUAGGGACAAAGAAAAAAGAAAAAAAUGCGCCUACAUCUUCUUCAUUUAGAUAUAUUUGUUUUUUUUUUAAUCCCUUAUAUGACAUAACAUUUAUGUUAUGCCAAAUUUUGAAUUGGUUUUUGAAGUUGAUUUUUUUCAGCCGAGUUAUUUUGGUGUGUGUGUGAUAUAGCCAAUAUUUAAUAAUAUCGUUAUUUGUUGAUGGGAUCAUAGAUGUCAUUCCUUCUAACUUCUUUGACAUCAUAACCUUUUUUCUUUGUGUAUUUAACAAUAUAAUUGCAUGGAAACAGGUAGCAAUGCUGAUCAAUUUGAGGCUGAUGAAUCUGAGGAAGAUGAAUUUGAGGCUGACGAUGAAUUUGAGGCUGACGAUGAAUUUGAGGAUGAUGAAUUUGAGGCUGAUGAAUCGGAGACUGAUGAUUCGGAGACUGAUGACUCGGAUUCUGAAAAACUUAUUGGUAAGCUUUUGAUUUUGAGGACCAAAAAAAAUCUCUUAUAAUGUCUAUGUAUUUGUUGUUAUUUUAUGUUGUAAUGUACUCACAAUACUGAUUUUUGAGUUUUAUCAUCUUCCUUCAUUCAUUGUUAAAAAAAAGAAAAAUUAAUAAUAAUAAUAAUUGAUUCUUUGUUUUGCUUUUAUUGUAUUUAACAAUGGAUCAACAUAUUGCACACAGGUCGUGAAUGUCAGUUUUGUUUAAAGGUGGGUGAUCACUUCUCGCAAACAUGCUCUUAUAGGUAUCAUGUCCCAAAGAACGCAAUUGUUGGCAAGAGGUGUGUGGUAGUUUGUAAUUUGUGUGGUUGCCUCUUUAGAGACUCAUGUUGUGGCGUUUGUGGCCAAAGCGAUGGAUGUGCAAUUCUAAUGAAUUGUUUACAUUGUGGGAAGAUAGGUGAACAUUUGAUUUUUACGUGUCCGAGCCGCGAGGGGAAACCUUCUUGUUUUUCUUUGGACCCUUAUACUGGUU